AGGCUGUGAAGACAGAAAACAUUUCUCGAUGCUGAGUUAUGGACUUUGUUUUAUAUAUGCUGAAUUUUAUGCGUGUCUGAGCCGC
Salvia miltiorrhiza (redroot sage) is the source of this 85-nucleotide small nucleolar RNA. RefSeq annotates it as small nucleolar RNA snoR126. The transcript has a single exon. NCBI's taxonomy places the organism in Eukaryota, Viridiplantae, Streptophyta, Magnoliopsida, Lamiales, Lamiaceae. The record is from RefSeq and is a predicted model, not a curated record.